This 99-nucleotide microRNA precursor is filed under the name Macleaya cordata. Its description in RNAcentral is "MIR2950 microRNA precursor family". It matches the Rfam family "MIR2950 microRNA precursor family". Lineage: Eukaryota; Viridiplantae; Streptophyta; Magnoliopsida; Ranunculales; Papaveraceae. The record is from Rfam by way of RNAcentral.
CAUGGGUUUAUGGUGUAUUCCAUCUCUUGCACACUGGACCCGGCUUUCGGCUUCAGUUCAGGUCUGUGUGCAAGGGAUGGAAUACGCUAUUGAGUCAUG